RNAcentral lists this long non-coding RNA (1062 nucleotides) under Arabidopsis thaliana (thale cress). Its description in RNAcentral is "long non-coding RNA (ATHA_LNC000250)". The record is from RNAcentral. Lineage: Eukaryota; Viridiplantae; Streptophyta; Magnoliopsida; Brassicales; Brassicaceae.
CGGUAAAUUGUGGAUCGUUUAGUUGUGGCCGUUCUGUGUCGCCUCGUCCUCCGGUUGUAACGCCGUUACCACCGCCUUCUUUGCCAUCUCCGCCUCCACCUGCGCCAAUUUUCUCAACACCUCCUACGCUUACUUCCCCACCACCUCCGUCACCGCCUCCGCCUGUUUAUUCUCCCCCUCCUCCACCGCCACCACCUCCUCCGGUAUAUUCUCCUCCACCACCACCGCCCCCACCGCCUCCUCCGCCAGUAUAUUCUCCUCCACCACCACCACCGCCCCCACCGCCUCCUCCGCCAGUAUAUUCUCCGCCACCACCAUCGCCGCCUCCACCGCCUCCGCCAGUCUACUCUCCCCCACCACCACCACCGCCUCCACCUCCUCCGCCGGUAUACUCUCCUCCGCCUCCGCCAGUAUACUCUUCUCCACCUCCUCCGCCUUCUCCAGCACCAACUCCAGUUUAUUGCACCCGUCCACCACCCCCACCACCUCACUCGCCGCCACCACCACAAUUUUCUCCUCCACCACCUGAACCUUACUACUACAGCUCACCACCACCACCGCAUUCUUCACCGCCGCCGCAUUCACCUCCACCACCACAUUCACCUCCCCCACCGAUUUAUCCAUAUCUGUCUCCACCGCCCCCACCAACACCAGUUUCUUCUCCACCACCCACUCCGGUCUAUUCCCCUCCUCCCCCACCUCCUUGUAUAGAACCACCACCACCUCCACCGUGUAUAGAGUAUUCACCUCCUCCUCCUCCACCAGUCGUUCAUUAUAGCUCUCCGCCUCCACCGCCAGUCUACUACAGCUCUCCGCCACCUCCACCAGUCUAUUACAGCUCUCCACCUCCGCCACCGCCGGUUCAUUACAGCUCUCCGCCACCACCAGAAGUCCAUUACCAUUCUCCGCCUCCAUCUCCAGUACACUACAGCUCUCCACCACCGCCACCAUCAGCUCCAUGUGAAGAAUCUCCUCCACCAGCACCGGUAGUUCACCACAGUCCACCACCGCCCAUGGUUCACCACAGCCCACCACCUCCAGUGAUCCACCAAAGCCCACCAC